UACACCCUGCGGUGUUCGUGGUCGCCUUGAAGUUUUGAGCCAACACCAAUUGAUAGGGAGCCCGGGCUCUGGGUGUGGAAUGUAGGCCUCCAGCCUUUGGAGGAAACAAGAAGCAUUCAGGAGGGCACCCACCUGUUUGAGAACAGGUUCAAGAAAACUUUAAGGACAUUACACGGCACCAGUGGGGUUUCA
This 192-nucleotide non-coding RNA is filed under the name Desulfallas sp. Bu1-1. RNAcentral's name for it is "6S RNA". It matches the Rfam family "6S / SsrS RNA". From Rfam's summary of the family: E. coli 6S RNA was the first non coding RNA to be sequenced, but its function was unknown until recently. Lineage: Bacteria; Bacillati; Bacillota; Clostridia; Eubacteriales; Desulfallaceae. The record is from RNAcentral.